CUCCUAGUAGCUCAAUUGGUUCAGAGCGUUCGACUGUGAAUCGAAAGGUCACCUGCUCGACUCAGGUCUUGGAGA
This 75-nucleotide transfer RNA is filed under the name Cytospora mali. RNAcentral's name for it is "tRNA-His (GTG) (tRNA-His-GTG-6-1)". It matches the Rfam family "tRNA". Rfam says of the family: Transfer RNA (tRNA) molecules are approximately 80 nucleotides in length. Their secondary structure includes four short double-helical elements and three loops (D, anti-codon, and T loops). Further hydrogen bonds mediate the characteristic L-shaped molecular structure. tRNAs have two regions of fundamental functional importance: the anti-codon, which is responsible for specific mRNA codon recognition, and the 3' end, to which the tRNAs corresponding amino acid is attached (by aminoacyl-tRNA synthetases). tRNAs cope with the degeneracy of the genetic code in two manners: having more than one tRNA (with a specific anti-codon) for a particular amino acid; and 'wobble' base-pairing, i.e. permitting non-standard base-pairing at the 3rd anti-codon position. Lineage: Eukaryota; Fungi; Ascomycota; Sordariomycetes; Diaporthales; Cytosporaceae. The record is from RNAcentral.